AUACGUAGGGGGCGAGCGUUGUCCGGAAUGAUUGGGCGUAAAGGGCGCGUAGGCGGCGCGGUAAGUCUGGAGUGAAAGUCCUGCUUUCAAGGUGGGAAUUGCUUUGGAUACUGCCGCGCUUGAGUGCAGGAGAGGUUAUCGGAAUUCCCGGUGUAGCGGUGAAAUGCGUAGAGAUCGGGAGGAACACCAGUGGCGAAGGCGGGUAACUGGACUGCAACUGACGCUGAGGCGCGAAAGUGUGGGGAGCAAACAGGAUUAGAUACCCUGGUAGUCCACACUGUAAACGAUGAAUGCUAGGUGUAAGAGGUAUCGACCCCUUUUGUGCCGGAGUCAACACAAUAAGCAUUCCGCCUGGGGAGUACGGCCGCAAGGUUGAAACUCAAAGGAAUUGACGGGG
This 397-nucleotide ribosomal RNA is filed under the name uncultured bacterium. RNAcentral describes it as "partial 16S ribosomal RNA". It matches the Rfam family "Bacterial small subunit ribosomal RNA", at positions 523 to 918 of the family's 1533-position model. The record is from RNAcentral.